ACAGGCCUGGUCAUUCGUUCGUCCAUUCAUUCACUCACGCCUUGAGCUGACUCAGGAAUAGAGAUGGGUUGUCUGCGGAUCCUAGAACAAGUUCUGGAGGUGGUGAACAGAUGGCCAAGCAGAAUUGCCAUAAUCCUCGAUAGCAAGAGGCAGCUUACCUUGUGGAAACUUGGGCCUCUCUUCUGACGACUGUAGGGAGUAAGAGAACAAGGAUCGUGGAAUCUGGAUCUUGUCCCCUUUUGACCUUGCAAACUUGCGUCAAGAGUAUAGCCCUCGUAAUGCCAACUGAGGAAUGCCUGGCUGUCCCCAGGAGUACCCACAUUUGGCUCUGCAGUCUCCUGUGGGAAGAUCUGCACGGACCCAGCAUCCUUGCUACAGAACCCUGGGACUGCAGGCUUUUGUCAGAGAUGAUCCGUUAGUCGCCAUCAAGACCCGAAUAGACCGGUAG
RNAcentral lists this long non-coding RNA (448 nucleotides) under Lynx canadensis (Canada lynx). Its description in RNAcentral is "lncRNA (ENSLCNG00005016039.1)". The record is from RNAcentral. Lineage: Eukaryota; Metazoa; Chordata; Mammalia; Carnivora; Felidae.